Molecule: long non-coding RNA, 961 nt
Organism: Mugil cephalus (flathead mullet)
Lineage: Eukaryota; Metazoa; Chordata; Actinopteri; Mugiliformes; Mugilidae
Exons: 5
Source: RefSeq, a predicted model, not a curated record
AGUAACGUGUUUACAUGGACUUACGUUGUCCAGCUAGAGUCCGAUUAAGAGGACGUGGCCUCCCGUGAAAUCUAUUGUCACAUCGAGGAGAGCUGUGCGAGAGCCGACUCCCCUGUUCCUGAGGUGUUUUCUCCACUGGAAGAGAGCGUGGAAGCAGCGUCCACAUCCUGAAAAGUUGGCAUUACAUCGAUCGCCACGUGACGGACUUUUCCAGGCCCCUCACCCAUCCCGUGCGGGGACGGGCUCCAGCCUGCAUGUGAAGAAAGCGGCUCCAGAUGCACCGGGGCUGUUGGACUUGACGUGAAGACACGGAGCACUAACUGAGAUGAGGCCGAGGCAUGAAGUCAUGCGCCUGACGCGGUGCUGGACGUUCCGGCUGGUGAAAGUGACUGUCUGUCUCCUCGGCCUGCUUUGCCUCCUGGUUGUUUGACACGUUGGAGCCACGUGGAGGAAAGGCCCUACCCUGAUCUGCUGCUGUGAGAGCUGGAGAGGUGUCCGUGAAUUCGAAGUGAAGGAGGCGGAGUUCAUCUUGUGUAAUAAAAGUAAGCCGGGAGGAAAAUGUGACAGAUGUGGAGGCCUGUGCCAACGAGAAAAGUGAGAGUGGGACUGUCAGACAUGUCGACUCCGGCGCAGUGAUGGAUGGAGAGUGAGGUAAGACAGAUGACAUCGUCUGUCUGAGGCCGUGUUGUCAUAGUGGAGGAUUGCCGCUUGUCUUAACCUCUCAAUAUCAGAGAGCAAACUGAAGUUUGUUUACACUGCUCCAGUGGAGUGAUUUAGAAUGAGGGGCAGAGGGAGACGUGGGUGUAGCUUUGCUCGCUAGAGGGUCGGAUCAGGUUUCUAAACAUUCUCUUUGAAAUUGAAUAGCAACCAUCCCAGGCGUUUUAAACUCAACAACCAUUUGGUAACAAUCCUCAAGGUAGAGAAACACAAAUACAAACAGAAAAAAUAAAUAUCGAUCGGU